GGCUUUUCAAUGGACCUGAUGCAGUGCAUCCUGGUAUUGUAUUGAUGACAAGGGUGGAUUGUGCAUUGAAGAUAAAUAAUAAACUUUGUGAUAGAUUUUCGGUGAGUCAUUAUCCCAUGCUAUUUUGGGGUCCACCUGUCCAAAUUUGUAUCUGGCAGUUGGGAACCUAAAAAAGAGAAAAGUGAAAUUCUUGUAAUUGAUGAUGGACGGACAGCAGAACGCUUGCUUAAUUGGAUCAAUAAGCAGUUAGGCAGCUCAUAUGGUUUGGAUGACGAGAAGUUUGAAAAUGAGCAUCUUCCAUC
Molecule: unclassified non-coding RNA, 302 nt
Filed under: Hevea brasiliensis (rubber tree)
Lineage: Eukaryota; Viridiplantae; Streptophyta; Magnoliopsida; Malpighiales; Euphorbiaceae
Source: RNAcentral